ACUUGGCAGUUGCCCACUCCUGCGCGGACUACCCCGAGAGCCCUUCUAAGGAGUUGUCUGCCUUCCUACUGGCUCUGCAGCCCUCCAAGGCAGGGCCCGGAUCCUGUGUGGCCUGGUCAUACAGUGCUGCCGAAACAUGCAGUCGAGAGCAAGGACUCUGGAGUCAGGCGAGGUUCGAAUCCUUGCAACUACUACUCACCAGUCAAGGGACCUGAAAUAUGUCUAAGCUUCAUUGAAAUGAAGAUAACAAUUGUAUCCAUCUCGUAGGUCAUUAUCCACUUUUGUGAAGAUUAAAGGAGAUACAUGUGAGGAGUUUAGUAUAGUGAGCAGAUGACAGAGGCUCCCUAAAUUCUUUUGAGUGAAUAAAUGCCAGGAUGAAGUAUUGGAAAGCACCCCACUUCAAAGGCCCUAAAUUUGUUUUGUUGAUAAUACAGUGUACAUGCAAAAGAGACUCAAUCACUUCCACAGCCAGAAACUUUCAAUGACUUCCCUUUGCCCUGAGGUUAUAAUGCAGUCUUCUCAACACAGCUCUCAAGGUCCUUUCUACGCUGAGCUCUGUCUGCUUCUCCAGCUUGGCUGCCCUACACACACACACACACACACACACACACACAUACACACACUACUGCUUCAUUUCUCUUUGUCAUGGCUCUACUCUCCCCUCUGCCUAAAAUGCUCAUCUUGCCCCUUUGUCCCAGUUUUGGUGCUUUUCCUAAUAUACACUUACCCUUAUAUACAUUUAACAUACUCUUCUCAUCUGUUUACAUGUCUUUCUUGAUAGAGGACUGGGCCAUUAUUUUACAGCCAUUAGAGUAAGGACUGACAAGGUGAAUAAAAUAUUUGUGUUGAAUGAAUGCAUGUGGUGUGGAGGCAACAACUAGAGGGCCAGCAUGGGCUGGGAUGGGGAAACUGAUGCCAAAGUGGUUGUCAGUGGCUCACUCCCAAAAAUUACUGAGCUCGCUGGAUGUGAAAACUGACCUUACCCCACCCCAACCAUGAGCUGCUUCUGUGCAACUAACGUGAAUUCCCCAGGGUCUCUGGUCUCCCGCAGGUGUUUUUCUGAGUCUCCAGGGACAGGAUCUUCUGAGUCCUCAGGCAUGAGAUGCCCAGCUUGGAAAGGGAGUAAACCAAUAUAAACCGUACUGAGGGAAUAAAAACCAUGGACUGGUUGCAAGAGGUUGCCACAUACACUGACUUUCUCAGAUCCUGUAAAAUGAAGGAACCCAGGCCCAGUCAUAAAGACAAAAUUCCCAGCCCCAAGUCUUCCCGUUACCCGAUUAUCCGGACCGGACGCGAGGUCCAGGCCCGGCCCUGCGAAGAGGUUCCUGGGAGAAGAGGACCAAGUCGUCGCCACUGCCCCAUCGUCGAGGAGAAAAAGGAGGAG
This is a long non-coding RNA of Mustela erminea (ermine), 1384 nucleotides long. RefSeq lists it as uncharacterized. The record is from RefSeq and is a predicted model, not a curated record. NCBI's taxonomy places the organism in Eukaryota, Metazoa, Chordata, Mammalia, Carnivora, Mustelidae. The transcript has 3 exons.